Long non-coding RNA from Zingiber officinale, 653 nucleotides. RefSeq lists it as uncharacterized. The transcript has 3 exons. The record is from RefSeq and is a predicted model, not a curated record. NCBI's taxonomy places the organism in Eukaryota, Viridiplantae, Streptophyta, Magnoliopsida, Zingiberales, Zingiberaceae.
ACGCGAUGAAAUGGCGCAUCAAGCUUCGGCUUCCAGCCAGUUUGUCGCUUUCCCCUUCGGACGUGGCCGGGAAUGCGUCCGGCUUAACCGAUGGGCUCUCAGUGCCUUCCAAAUCUCACAGAUCGUCGGUUCUUCCUCUUCGAGAUGGCUCGAUUUGGUGGAUGGAUUCAGUUCCUGAUCUCCUUCCUCCGAGUUCUGAUGGAGAGGCCCGUUCCCAACGAGGUUCAGCUCGCUUUCUGAAGCUAGGUCGCUGAUUAAUUAGAUGGCCUGGUUUGGUAGCUGGAUCCGAUUGGCGAUCUUCAUCCUGCGAAUUUUUACGGAGAGGCCCGCUUCGAGCGAGCUCCUACUCGUCAUCUGAAUUCCAAGAUGGUUGAGCCACACUUAAAGAUACAAACUCAGAAGACUCAAAGAUAAAAAAUCCUACAGCAAUGGAGGACCAAAGCAACAACACUCUUCAACUUGUAAUUAAGUUGUAAAUUUACUUUUUUGCUUAAAUGUAAAACUCAAAGAGUUUAGUUGAGAUCAGAACUAGCCAGUUUGCUAGUUAGUAAACAAUCACCAUGGCUAAGAUUGUUGUAAGUACGAUGGCAACCAAUCCUUUUGUGUUGCAAGGAAGAUGGCAAAUUCAAGUUUUGUGAAGUGAAUAUUUCCAU